UACGUAGGGUGCAGGCGUUAAUCGGAAUUACUGGGCGUAAAGCGUGCGCAGGCGGUUGGUUAAGUCUGAUGUGAAAGCCCCGAGCUCAACUUGGGAAUGGCAUUGGAAACUGGCUGGCUAGAGUGUGGCAGAGGGGGGUGGAAUUCCGCGUGUAGCAGUGAAAUGCGUAGAGAUGCGGAGGAACACCGAUGGCGAAGGCAGCCCCCUGGGCUGACACUGACGCUCAGGCACGAAAGCGUGGGGAGCAAACAGG
This 253-nucleotide ribosomal RNA is filed under the name uncultured bacterium. Its description in RNAcentral is "partial 16S ribosomal RNA". It matches the Rfam family "Bacterial small subunit ribosomal RNA", at positions 524 to 776 of the family's 1533-position model. The record is from RNAcentral.